Molecule: small RNA, 687 nt
Filed under: Cryptococcus neoformans H99
Lineage: Eukaryota; Fungi; Basidiomycota; Tremellomycetes; Tremellales; Cryptococcaceae
Description: Cryptococcus neoformans var. grubii H99 hypothetical RNA
Source: RNAcentral
CUAAAUUCUAAAUUCUAUCUUCUAUAUCCCAACACCUCAUUCUAACACUCAAACACUCAUCAAUGACCUGUCCCCCCAUCUUACUCAGUUAUCAUUGGCCCUACAUCUUCACACUGUUCCAUCACCUUUUUACAAAACCCUGUAGUCCUCCAAUAACCAUUUUCUCUCCAAAAAACCCCACCUUCUCUAUUGCCAAAUCCAACGAAACUGUUCUAAAGGUCCAAGGUAAAUGUAGAAAAGAGACAGAGACACCCACAUCUCAUGCAUCUGAAUCCCCCAUAUGGCUCAAGCCUUUCAGCAAGCAGGCAUGGAGGGGAUGCAGAGUCAAAUGAAGUCCUCUUCUUUUUCUUCUUUUUUCACUUGUCUUUCAUUCCUGUGUUUUUGAGCAUUGACCAAGAUUGGUGUCCAAGAGGAUUGAGUGGGGUGAUAAUGAAUAGUUGGGUGACUGAUCGAUUUGAUGUGAUGCGAUGUAAUGUAGAAAGGAUACUUCAUCUGAGUCCAUCUUUCGAAUGAACCCCUGAGAUGAUGAACAUGUAAGGUCCUGAUCAAUAAGACCUUCACUGAGUGACUGGAGGGAGCGAGGUGAUAGAGGUGUGGGGCUGGUUCGGGCUGGUGAGCCUUUAGGAUGUGGACUUCAAGCUGGACAAGAAGCAAACAAGAUCCCAAUAUGCAUAUGCUGAUUAUGUC